RNAcentral lists this non-coding RNA (823 nucleotides) under Galagoides demidoff (Demidoff's galago). Its description in RNAcentral is "partial 12S ribosomal RNA". It matches the Rfam family "Bacterial small subunit ribosomal RNA", at positions 36 to 1395 of the family's 1533-position model. The record is from RNAcentral. Lineage: Eukaryota; Metazoa; Chordata; Mammalia; Primates; Galagidae.
UUAUCAGCAGGCCUACACAUGCAAGUCGCCGCACUCCAGUGAGAAUGCCCUCCAGGUCAACCAAGACCAAAAGGCGCAGGCAUCAAGCACACUUUUAUAAGCAGCUCAUAACGCCUUGCUCAGCCACACCCCCACGGGUAACAGCAGUGAUAAACAUUAAGCAAUGAACGAAAGUUUGACUCAGCCAUGCUAAUCUGUAGCUCAAGGGUUGGUAAAUUUCGUGCCAGCCACCGCGGUCAUACGAUUAACCCAUAUUAAUAAUACCCGGCGUAAAGAGUGUUUUAGACAAUAAUUCAAUAAGGUUAAGCACUAACUAAGCUGUAAAAAGCCCCAGUUAGAAUAAAAAUAGGCAGCGAAAGCAACCUUAGACUUCUGAAAACACGACAGUUAAGACCCAAACUGGGAUUAGAUACCCCACUAUGCUUAACCGUAAACCUAAAUAAUCAACUAACAAAAUUAUUCGCCAGAGUACUACAAGCAACAGCUUAAAACUCAAAGGACUUGGCGGUGCUUUAUAUCCCCCUAGAGGAGCCUGUUCUGUAAUCGAUAAACCCCGAUAAACCUCACCCCUCCUUGCCAAUUCAACCUAUAUACCGCCAUCCUCAGCCAACCCUGCUAAGGUAACAAAGUAAGCAUAAGAACUAUAUGUUAAAACGUUAGGUCAAGGUGUAGUCUAUGGAGUGGAAAGAAAUGGGCUACAUUUUCUACCUACCACAGAACACAAACGCUAGCCCCAAUGAAACAACGGCGAAAGGCGGAUUUAGUAGUAAAUUGAGAAUAGAGAGCUCAAUUGAAUAGGGCAAUGAAGCACGCACACACGCCC